ACGGCUAUGGCGGAAUUGGCAGACGCGCAGGAUUUAGGUUCCUGUCCGAGAGGGUAUGGGUUCAAGUCCCACUAGCCGUA
RNAcentral lists this transfer RNA (80 nucleotides) under Butyrivibrio sp. RNAcentral's name for it is "tRNA-Leu". It matches the Rfam family "tRNA". Rfam says of the family: Transfer RNA (tRNA) molecules are approximately 80 nucleotides in length. Lineage: Bacteria; Bacillati; Bacillota; Clostridia; Lachnospirales; Lachnospiraceae. The record is from RNAcentral.